RNAcentral lists this ribosomal RNA (469 nucleotides) under uncultured bacterium. RNAcentral's name for it is "bacterial SSU rRNA". It matches the Rfam family "Bacterial small subunit ribosomal RNA", at positions 28 to 462 of the family's 1533-position model. The record is from RNAcentral.
GACGAACGCUGGCGGCGUGCCUAAUACAUGCAAGUCGAACGCACUCUCGUUUAGAUUGAAGGAGCUUGCUCCUGAUUGAUAAACAUUUGAGUGAGUGGCGGACGGGUGAGUAACACGUGGGUAACCUGCCCUAAAGUGGGGGAUAACAUUUGGAAACAGAUGCUAAAUACCGCAUAAAACCUAACACCGCAUGGUGUAGGGUUGAAAGAUGGUUUCGGCUAUCACUUUAGGAUGGACCCGCGGUGCAUUAGUUAGUUGGUGAGGUAAAGGCUCACCAAGACCGUGAUGCAUAGCCGACCUGAGAGGGUAAUCGGCCACACUGGGACUGAGACACGGCCCAGACUCCUACGGGAGGCAGCAGUAGGGAAUCUUCCACAAUGGACGAAAGUCUGAUGGAGCAACGCCGCGUGAGUGAAGAAGGUUUUCGGAUCGUAAAACUCUGUUGUUGGAGAAGAAUGUAUCUGAUAGU